CAGCACCUUCAGGUUACAGGCCUUUUGACGACAGGCUGCUGGAGUCUAGCGACACCACAGGGCCUUAUCUCAGCCCAGCCCUUUGAAGCAAGGUGUUGUCAGCCAUUGCCACAGCCAUUUUCUUAUCCCAAGAGAGGAAGCUGCCUCUGCAGGCUCCGAGGCCCUCCCUGGUCACAGUCUGGGUGUUUGAAAGAGCAGAAGGAGCACCUCUAACAGGAGGCCAAGUCUUCAACACGCGAGCCUUCUGAAAAGGUGUGCUUCCUGCUCAAACAAGAAGACUAGCGAUCCAAAGUAGGCUGAGAAUGCAGGAAGAUUGGCAGCCUGAAUCCAGGUCCAGAGAGCGAUGAAGUGGUCGUUUGCCUGAGCGUAGCUCUGACCAGGUAACCACAGCUGCUGAGAGUUUAAGAAGAUAAUGGCCAACGUCGUGUUUGAUGGACCACAUUCCACAACACUUUUAUUGCAAAAGAGGUGUGUGGGGGGAUGUUUUGUCCACCUAGGACAAACCUUGGUAGCAGUCAUUAAAUUGUUAGUGGACCCAAGACUAUUGCCAGAUUGGCAAGCGUUGGGAUCAGAAUGGGCUCUGACCCCUCUAAGAUUGCCCCCACCCACCUCCCCUGUUCUGAGUGCGCUGAGGUCAGGCUCUUUGGCGGAUGUUUUGCUGUUUGGUAUAUCUCUUGGUUUGGCAGCUGUGGCUUCCUGGGGCAUGCUGACCGUUCCUUGACCCUGGGUACUUGAUAAACAAUUUUGUUUGUUCCUCCUGAAAGGGUAUAUAAGGUGGGGAAGAAAGAAUAAAAGAGUCCUGAUGC
Molecule: non-coding RNA, 806 nt
Organism: Peromyscus maniculatus bairdii (prairie deer mouse)
Lineage: Eukaryota; Metazoa; Chordata; Mammalia; Rodentia; Cricetidae
Source: RefSeq, a predicted model, not a curated record